RNAcentral lists this ribosomal RNA (550 nucleotides) under uncultured soil bacterium. RNAcentral describes it as "bacterial SSU rRNA". It matches the Rfam family "Bacterial small subunit ribosomal RNA", at positions 72 to 629 of the family's 1533-position model. The record is from RNAcentral.
GGCCCGCAAGGGCAACCGGCGAACGGGUGCGUAACACGUGAGCAACUUUCCGAUUUGUGGGGGAUAGCCGGCCCAACGGCCGGGUAAUACCGCAUACGCUCUUCGGGUGGAAUCACCUGAAGAGGAAACCUCCGGGGCAAAUCGAGGGGCUCGCGGCCUAUCAGCUAGUUGGUGCGGGUAACGGCCCACCAAGGCGAUGACGGGUAGCUGGUCUGAGAGGAUGGCCAGCCACAUUGGGACUGAGAAACGGCCCAAACUCCUACGGGAGGCAGCAGUGGGGAAUCUUGCGCAAUGGCCGAAAGGCUGACGCAGCGACGCCGCGUGUGGGAGGAAGCUCUUCGGGGUGUAAACCACUGUUGCCCGGGACGAACGUCGGGAUUUAUCCCGAUUGACGGUACCGGGUGAGGAAGCACCGGCUAACUCUGUGCCAGCAGCCGCGGUAAUACAGAGGGUGCGAGCGUUGUCCGGAAUCACUGGGCGUAAAGGGCGCGUAGGUGGCCUCUGUAAGGCCGUGGUGAAGGUCCGGGGCUCAACCCCGGAUCUGCCGCGG